CCUACGGGAGGCAGCAGUCGGGAAUAUUGCGCAAUGGAGGAAACUCUGACGCAGUGAUGCCGCGUAUAGGAAGAAGGUUUUAGGAUUGUAAACUAUUGUCGAAGGGGAAGAAAAAUGACAGUACCCUUGGAGGAAGCCCCGGCUAACUACGUGCCAGCAGCCGCGGUAAU
RNAcentral lists this ribosomal RNA (170 nucleotides) under uncultured bacterium. Its description in RNAcentral is "partial 16S ribosomal RNA". It matches the Rfam family "Bacterial small subunit ribosomal RNA", at positions 338 to 524 of the family's 1533-position model. The record is from RNAcentral.